This 1477-nucleotide long non-coding RNA is filed under the name Phasianus colchicus (ring-necked pheasant). RNAcentral's name for it is "lncRNA (ENSPCLG00000012330.1)". Lineage: Eukaryota; Metazoa; Chordata; Aves; Galliformes; Phasianidae. The record is from RNAcentral.
GCACCAUCCAUCCCAAACACUGAAAGGUAACUUGCAGGUACCUCAGCAGGACUGUGUUGGAGCCUCUUGAGCUAACAGGACAUACCUGUGGCAACCAGACUCCUGGGAGAGGGGUUGGAGAUGAGCAGACAGGCUGUGGUGGAUGGCUCCAGGAUGACCAGUGUCCCAUCUUGCCAGGGAGGUCAACAGAAGUUUAGCCGCUGACAUCAUGAACAGGAUUGCAACCCGUAUCUGUGAUUAGUGAUGAAAUGAAACCCACAGCUUGAAAUCAUUUAUCCAUCAUAUCCGAUCAAACACAAACAUCCUCUGCACUUGAAAAUAAAUGAGGGUUGGAGCCAGCUCGCCUCUGCAGAAGUUUGUGACACGUGUGAUAGAUUGAUGAGCUGAGAACAAGCUGCCACCCUCCACCCCCAUCAUCGAUGAUUUUCCAUUCCGCCUGGAGAAGGGGACGCUGAGGCCAGAGGUGAAGGAUAUACUUUCCAAUAACUGUUUCAGUGGGAGGUGAGAAAUAUGAGUCCCUGGAGGGGCAGAAGGAAAAAAAGGAAGGCACUGUUAAGCAGGGUAGUUUAGAGAGAGCAGCUGCUUGACAGACUUCUGGCAAAGAGUGAGGGGAGCAGCAGCCCUACUCUUGCAGCACCUAUUGUUGAAUGUUACAGGUACCAGAACAGCACAGACCAUGGUCUCUGGCUGAUAUAGGCUUUUUCCAGUUGCAUAUGAAGAUAAGAGGCCUGUAAGAUGAAAGAAGAGAGCUGAUGAUGUCUGCUGGCCACUCAGUAUGGUAAUGCCAGCAACAACAAACACAGAAGGGCUCACAUCCAGCCAACUCCUCACUGCCUUUGCAGCAUCCACAGCUGCCAGUAAGGAAGGUCCUGUGCUCAGCUGAAUGGCAGCAGCCCCACCAGUUUUGUUCUCAUCUGUUUCACAGUGGUGGGCUUUUGGGGAUCAAAGCAGAAAACAAAACUUGUCUUGGAGUUCCAAUGUCACUAUUCUGUGAUUUUAAUUGGGAAGUUGGUGUUACUUGCCCUUUUCUUAUUUCUUCCUCCGUAGUGCAGCAGCUCCAGAAGCACAGCAGAGAGAUUCAGGCUCCCAGUAUAAAUUCUCCUUCAGUGCAGAGCAAAGAACAUCAGCUGAACCAAGUGGUCACAUCGUGGUCUGAGUGGGGGUACCACACUGGUGGGCAGCAGGUGGGAGAUGCUGGUACCGAUUACAGUGCCAAGAGAGUCUGCCAGGCCUGCCAGCACUGUACUUCAGGCUGUCUUCUAAAAAGUCCACUAUUGGAGUACACUGGAGAUGCACAGCUGCAAGCAGCUUGGGAAAACACUGCAGAUCGUGCUGAAAGGCACAGCUGCUACUUCUGACCUGUGAACUAUGACAUCCAGUGCUCAUACAAACAUUUAGGCGUUUAUACGGAGGUGAAGCAGUCCCAAGAACUCCAGGAGGAACCCACCAAGUCAAGUACAUGUCAGUAAGAAACAUU